GCAAUGGUGGUUCAGUGGAAGAAAUCUUGCCUUCCAUUGGGAGACCUGGGUUUGAUUCCCAGCCAAUGCA
This 70-nucleotide transfer RNA is filed under the name Loxodonta africana (African savanna elephant). It matches the Rfam family "tRNA". Rfam says of the family: Transfer RNA (tRNA) molecules are approximately 80 nucleotides in length. Their secondary structure includes four short double-helical elements and three loops (D, anti-codon, and T loops). Further hydrogen bonds mediate the characteristic L-shaped molecular structure. tRNAs have two regions of fundamental functional importance: the anti-codon, which is responsible for specific mRNA codon recognition, and the 3' end, to which the tRNAs corresponding amino acid is attached (by aminoacyl-tRNA synthetases). tRNAs cope with the degeneracy of the genetic code in two manners: having more than one tRNA (with a specific anti-codon) for a particular amino acid; and 'wobble' base-pairing, i.e. permitting non-standard base-pairing at the 3rd anti-codon position. The record is from Rfam by way of RNAcentral. Lineage: Eukaryota; Metazoa; Chordata; Mammalia; Proboscidea; Elephantidae.